UCCAUUAGGCUGAGGCCUAGAACAAAGAAGUAGGACCUGGCUGAAGUUUUAAAAAUGUAGGUGACAAAAAUAAUCCAAACCAAUACUUCAAGUGAAAGCAGGACUCGACUACACAGUUAGACAUUAAGUGGGGAUUGACUUCAGACAGAGGGUGGGAGACACUUCUAUACACAGAGAGUGAUGAGGGUAUGAAGUGGGCAGCCUCAGGAUCCUUUAAGACCCAACUUGAAGUUUUGAGAUCAAUCAGCUACUUGGAACCGGACAAGCUGUUCACCAUUACGGAGGUGAUGAAGAGGAUGAUGAAAUAGUUAGCAACGAUUAAAGAACUACUGGACACAAAAAUUAGGUGCAAGAUGAGGUGAAUGAAAUUAACCUGCAAGUGUAUUUAGAUCUUGAAAAAAACUAAAGGACCAGUAGAAAUAUAUUUCACCCAUGAGCAAUACAUCUCCCUUUUACCUGAUGACAAUAUAGAUACUAGGUAUAAUGUGUGGCCUUUAUUUUAUUAAAGAACAGGUGUAACUUAUCUAUAGCAUUUGUGAGUGUCUGUUGCUGUUUUUUCUGUCACCAGACCUUGGUUUUAAUGUAUUUCAUUCUACUGUUAAUUUAAAAAAGCAUUUGUAACAGUUCUCAACUUGCCCUUCUUGACUCAAACAAAUAUAACCUUACGGCAGCAUUUCUACCAGUCAGAGCCUUCAAAGAAAUAUGUUGCCUGGUGUCAGAGAUGUAUUUUGUAUUUAGAAAGGUCAAAAUAUAAUUGAACAUAUCAAAACAUUUAUAUCAAAAAUUUAUAUUGUCUGUAAUAGUCUGUCUACUUGACUAAGGGUUCAUUUGACCAACUGGCACCCAGCCAGGAUAAGCCGCAUUAUCCCAAGCGGUUAUUAGGUUGAUCAAAUCAACCUCUUAGUUUCUUAAGUUUUACCAUA
This is a long non-coding RNA of Acipenser ruthenus (sterlet), 923 nucleotides long. RefSeq lists it as uncharacterized. The record is from RefSeq and is a predicted model, not a curated record. The transcript has 3 exons. Lineage: Eukaryota; Metazoa; Chordata; Actinopteri; Acipenseriformes; Acipenseridae.